This 284-nucleotide unclassified non-coding RNA is filed under the name Hevea brasiliensis (rubber tree). Lineage: Eukaryota; Viridiplantae; Streptophyta; Magnoliopsida; Malpighiales; Euphorbiaceae. The record is from RNAcentral.
GUUAUUACUCUCUAGCCUUUGGGCACUUGAUACCUUUCAAACACAAAGGAGACUCCAUUUCCAUUUAUUCAUAUUUGACAAGAGUGCUACGGAGAUAAAGUAACCAUGUGGUAGCAUCGGUGCUGGGAAACCAAAACUCCAAAACCCAAAAAUGGAAGAUAAUAAUGAUUAUCUGCCAUCAAGCAAGAAAAGGGGGGAGAAAUCACCGUUUCUACAGCCUCCUAAUUAAGUGGACGGGAACUGAUUCAGCAACGAAUGAAGGAAAGUCCAUGCCAGUGAUGUGC